UGGACUAGAAGGAAUUCUGGAUUCAUUGAACAAACAUUAUAAUGAGAGUGAUACAAGACUACUAGAAGUACUUGGGACCCCUGGACUUAAAGGCCAGAAGGGAGAUGUUGGUCAGAAAGGAGAAUUGGGAAUGACAGGCGCGAAAGGAGAAAAGGGAGAGCCUUCUGAAAAAGGGGACAAGGGAGAUCCAGGAGAGACUGGAAUGCAGGGAUCGAAAGGAAAUAAGGGUGAAGUGGGAGACCCUGGACCACCUGGUCUUAUCGGAAAUCCAGGAUCAAAGGGACUGCAAGGCCCUCCAGGACCUGUCGGACCCAGGGGACUGCCAGGAGAAGUUGUAUGUAUUGUGCAGUUUCACCAAGCUGUAGCAGUGUGG
This 373-nucleotide long non-coding RNA is filed under the name Manacus vitellinus (golden-collared manakin). RNAcentral's name for it is "lncRNA (ENSMVIG00005010017.1)". Lineage: Eukaryota; Metazoa; Chordata; Aves; Passeriformes; Pipridae. The record is from RNAcentral.